This 492-nucleotide ribosomal RNA is filed under the name uncultured bacterium. RNAcentral's name for it is "partial 16S ribosomal RNA". It matches the Rfam family "Bacterial small subunit ribosomal RNA", at positions 29 to 507 of the family's 1533-position model. The record is from RNAcentral.
AGUGAACGCUGGCGGUAGGCCUAACACAUGCGAGUCGAACGGCAGCACAGUAAGAGCUUGCUCUUACGGGUGGCGAGUGGCGGACGGGUGAGGAAUACAUCGGAAUCUACUUUUUCGUGGGGGAUAACGUAGGGAAACUUACGCUAAUACCGCAUACGACCUACGGGUGAAAGCAGGGGAUCUUCGGACCUUGCGCGAUUGAAUGAGCCGAUGUCGGAUUAGCUAGUUGGCGGGGUAAAGGCCCACCAAGGCGACGAUCCGUAGCUGGUCUGAGAGGAUGAUCAGCCACACUGGAACUGAGACACGGUCCAGACUCCUACGGGAGGCAGUAGUGGGGAAUAUUGGACAAUGGGCGCAAGCCUGAUCCAGCCAUACCGCGUGGGUGAAGAAGGCCUUCGGGUUGUAAAGCCCUUUUGUUGGGAAAGAAAAGCAGCAGGUUAAUACCCCGCUGUUCUGACGGUACCCAAAGAAUAAGCACCGGCUAACUUCGUG